AGAAAUUUAGGUUAGUGCAGACCAAAGGCCUUCAAAGCCUUAAGCGAAGGUUAAAUUCCUCCAAUUUCUG
Molecule: transfer RNA, 70 nt
Filed under: Babina holsti (dagger frog)
Lineage: Eukaryota; Metazoa; Chordata; Amphibia; Anura; Ranidae
Description: transfer RNA-Trp
Rfam family: tRNA
About the family: Transfer RNA (tRNA) molecules are approximately 80 nucleotides in length. Their secondary structure includes four short double-helical elements and three loops (D, anti-codon, and T loops).
Source: RNAcentral